GAUCCUGGCUCAGGAUGAACGCUAGCUACAGGCUUAACACAUGCAAGUCGAGGGGCAGCAUGGUCUUAGCUUGCUAAGGCCGAUGGCGACCGGCGCACGGGUGAGUAACGCGUAUCCAACCUGCCUUACACUCUUGGACAGCCUUCUGAAAGGGGGAUUAAUACAAGAUGUUAUCAUGGGUAAGCAUUUUCGCAUGAUUAAAGGUUUACCGGUGUAAGAUGGGGAUGCGUUCCAUUAG
This 238-nucleotide ribosomal RNA is filed under the name uncultured bacterium. RNAcentral describes it as "partial 16S ribosomal RNA". It matches the Rfam family "Bacterial small subunit ribosomal RNA", at positions 15 to 244 of the family's 1533-position model. The record is from RNAcentral.